GACGAGCGCUGGCGGCGUGCUUAACACAUACAAGUCGAACGGGAUCCAUGUUGUAGCAAUACUUCGGAAGAUCUAGUGGCGAACGGGUGAGGAACACGUGAGAAACCUGCCCCGAACUUCGGGAUAACAGUUGGAAACGAUUGCUAAUACCGAAUACCUCUGCGAAGUGGCAUCACUUUGCAAAGAAAGAAUUUCGGUUCGGGAGGGUCUCGCGGCCUAUCAGCUAGUUGGUGGGGUAACGGCCUACCAAGGCAUCGACGGGUAGCUGGUCUGAGAGGAUGAUCGGCCACACUGGGACUGAGACACGGCCCAGACUCCUACGGGAGGCAGCAGUGGGGAAUCUUGUGCAAUGGGCGAAAGCCUGACACAGCAACGCCGCGUGCGGGAAGAAGGCCUUCGGGUCGUAAACCGCUUUCAGCAGGAACGAAAAUGACGGUACCUGCAGAAGAAGGUGCGGCCAACUACGUGCCAGCCGCCGCCGUAA
RNAcentral lists this ribosomal RNA (484 nucleotides) under uncultured bacterium. RNAcentral describes it as "partial 16S ribosomal RNA". It matches the Rfam family "Bacterial small subunit ribosomal RNA", at positions 28 to 523 of the family's 1533-position model. The record is from RNAcentral.